Long non-coding RNA from Sinocyclocheilus anshuiensis, 185 nucleotides. RefSeq lists it as uncharacterized. The transcript is spliced from 2 exons. The record is from RefSeq and is a predicted model, not a curated record. Lineage: Eukaryota; Metazoa; Chordata; Actinopteri; Cypriniformes; Cyprinidae.
CUGUUACAAAAUGUUCCUGACUCAUUCACUAGAGCAACAAGAGGUGUCAGCAGGAAUACAGGUGGCAUGCAUGAUUGUCUGGAUUUAAAGGGAUUGAUUUCCCUUUUCAAGCCUGAUUUUUCAGGCCUGCAGCUUUUCCAGGAUUAUCCAGGAAACUGAAGUACUCAAGCAUGGAAGAGAGUAGA